AAGGAAUAUUGGUCAAUGGAGGAAACUCUGAACCAGCCAUGCCGCGUGGAGGAUGAAGGUCCUCUGGAUUGUAAACUUCUUUUAUAUGGGACGAAAAAAGGGUUUUCUAACUCGUCUGACGGUACCAUAUGAAUAAGCACCGGCUAACUCCGUGCCAGCAGCCGCGGUAAUACGGAGGGUGCAAGCGUUAUCCGGAUUCACUGGGUUUAAAGGGAGCGUAGGUGGGCUGGUAAGUCAGAGGUGAAAUCUCCGAGCUUAACUCGGAAACUGCCUUUGAUACUAUUAGUCUUGAAUAUUGUGGAGGCUAGCGGAAUAUGUCAUGUAGCGGUGAAAUGCUUAGAUAUGACAUAGAACACCAAUUGCGAAGGCAGCUGGCUACACAUAUAGUGACACUGAGGCUCGAAAGCGUGGGGAUCAAAC
RNAcentral lists this ribosomal RNA (420 nucleotides) under uncultured bacterium. Its description in RNAcentral is "bacterial SSU rRNA". It matches the Rfam family "Bacterial small subunit ribosomal RNA", at positions 356 to 773 of the family's 1533-position model. The record is from RNAcentral.